CCBGGUUGAUCCUGCCAGAGGUUACUGCUAUCGAGAUUCGACUAAGCCAUGCGAGUCGAAUGUUCUUCGUGAACAUGGCGGACUGCUCAGUAACACGUGGACAACCUACCCUUGGGUCUGGCAUAAUCCUGGGAAACUGGGUAUAAUUCCAGAUAGGUCACAGAUGCUGGAAUGCACUGUGGCCGAAAGCYCCGGCGCCCAAGGAUGGGUCUGCGGCCUAUCAGGGUUGUAGUGGGUGUAACGGACCUACUAGCCUACGACGGGUACGGGUUGUGAGAGCAAGAGCCCGGAGAUGGAUUCUGAGACACGAAUCCAGGCCCUACGGGGUGCAGCAGGCGCGAAAACUUUACAAUGCGGGAAACCGUGAUAAGGGAAUCUCGAGUGCCAGCAUAUAAUGUUGGCUGUCCAGAUGCCUAAAAAGCAUCUGUUAGCAAGGGCCGGGCAAGACCGGUGCCAGCCGCCGCGGUAACACCGGCGGCCCGAGUGGUAACCGCUUUUAUUGGGUCUAAAGGGUCUGUAGCCGGCCAAGUAAGUCCCUUGGGAAAUCUGGCAGCUUAACUGUCAGGCUGCUAGGGGAUACUGCUAGGCUUGGGACCGGGAGAGGUGAGAGGUACCUUGGGGGUAGGGGUGAAAUCUUGUGAUCCUCGGGGGACCACCAGUGGCGAAGGCGUCUCACCAGAACGGGUCCGACGGUAAGGGACGAAAGCUAGGGGCACGAACCGGAUUAGAUACCCGGGUAGUCCUAGCCGUAAACGAUGCUCGCUAGGUGUCAGUCACGGUGCGACCGUGAUUGGUGCCGUAGGGAAGCCGUGAAGCGAGCCACCUGGGAAGUAUGGCCGCAAGGCUGAAACUUAAAGGAAUUGGCGGGGGAGCACUACAACGGGUGGAGCCUGCGGUUUAAUUGGAUUCAACGCCGGG
RNAcentral lists this ribosomal RNA (918 nucleotides) under uncultured archaeon. RNAcentral's name for it is "bacterial SSU rRNA". It matches the Rfam family "Archaeal small subunit ribosomal RNA", at positions 1 to 922 of the family's 1478-position model. The record is from RNAcentral.